Molecule: ribosomal RNA, 497 nt
Filed under: uncultured bacterium
Lineage: Bacteria
Description: partial 16S ribosomal RNA
Rfam family: Bacterial small subunit ribosomal RNA
Source: RNAcentral
GAUGAACGCUGGCGGCGUGCCUAAUACAUGCAAGUCGAGCGAACAGACGAGGAGCUUGCUCCUCUGACGUUAGCGGCGGACGGGUGAGUAACACGUGGAUAACCUACCUAUAAGACUGGGAUAACUUCGGGAAACCGGAGCUAAUACCGGAUAAUAUAUUGAACCGCAUGGUUCAAUAGUGAAAGACGGUUUUGCUGUCACUUAUAGAUGGAUCCGCGCCGCAUUAGCUAGUUGGUAAGGUAGCGGCUUACCAAGGCAACGAUGCGUAGCCGACCUGAGAGGGUGAUCGGCCACACUGGAACUGAGACACGGUCCAGACUCCUACGGGAGGCAGCAGUAGGGAAUCUUCCGCAAUGGGCGAAAGCCUGACGGAGCAACGCCGCGUGAGUGAUGAAGGUCCUCGGAUCGUAAAACUCUGUUAUUAGGGAAGAACAAAUGUGUAAGUAACUAUGCACGUCUUGACGGUACCUAAUCAGAAAGCCACGGCUAACUACGUG